UCCUUAUCAUAAUAACAUUCCUAUUUCUUACGUGCUUGCAACUUGCCAUGGCGUUUUAUACUUUAGUCGCUUUACAGAAGAUAGUGGGAUAGUGAAAUAUCUUAAAUAAUAGCGGGUUUUAUUCAAACAUCAUUUCAAAGAUAAAGAUGACUAAGGUGACUAGGAAGAGUCCUUUCAGUUUAUGGUGGGCAAUAAAAGUGAGGAUUCCUUGUUGUAGGAUGAUUUUCAGAGUCAAUACAUAAUAUGUGACCAAAGUCUUCCUCCCUGACCACCAUUUUGCAAGGAAAGCAUUGAUGUGGAUGCUGCAUAAAGAACAUGUUCAUGAUCUUCCUGUAGACACCAGAAAAAUGAAUUGAUUACUUCAUCAUACAACCAGCCAGCAGAGAUACAGAAUGUGGUCCAUUCCUUAAUAGUUUUGCGGUGAUUGAUGAAGAUUCUGUAAUGAGAGGUGUGAAACCUGUGUGAGGAGUUGGCAUGAAAGGAAUUGUUUGUGUAUCUUUGCUGGAUGAUUGCGUUUCCAUUUUCUCUA
Molecule: long non-coding RNA, 529 nt
Organism: Xenia sp. Carnegie-2017
Lineage: Eukaryota; Metazoa; Cnidaria; Anthozoa; Malacalcyonacea; Xeniidae
Exons: 4
Source: RefSeq, a predicted model, not a curated record